This 484-nucleotide ribosomal RNA is filed under the name uncultured bacterium. RNAcentral's name for it is "partial 16S ribosomal RNA". It matches the Rfam family "Bacterial small subunit ribosomal RNA", at positions 28 to 507 of the family's 1533-position model. The record is from RNAcentral.
AUUGAACGCUGGCGGCAUGCUUUACACAUGCAAGUCGAACGGCAGCGCGGGCUUCGGCCUGGCGGCGAGUGGCGAACGGGUGAGUAAUGCAUCGGAACGUGCCCAGUAGUGGGGGAUAGCCCGGCGAAAGCCGGAUUAAUACCGCAUACGACCUGAGGGUGAAAGCGGGGGACCGAAAGGCCUCGCGCUAUUGGAGCGGCCGAUGUCGGAUUAGCUAGUUGGUGGGGUAAAGGCUUACCAAGGCGACGAUCCGUAGCUGGUCUGAGAGGACGACCAGCCACACUGGGACUGGGACACGGCCCAGACUCCUACGGGAGGCAGCAGUGGGGAAUUUUUGACAAUUGGGGCAACCCUUAUCCAGCCAUGCCGCGUGCGGGAAGAAGGCCUUCGGGUUGUAAACCGCUUUUGUUCGGGAAGAAAUCCUCUUGGCUAAUACCCCGGGGGGAUGACGGUACCGGAAGAAUAAGCACCGGCUAACUACGUG